RNAcentral lists this ribosomal RNA (281 nucleotides) under uncultured prokaryote. Its description in RNAcentral is "partial 16S ribosomal RNA". It matches the Rfam family "Bacterial small subunit ribosomal RNA", at positions 524 to 803 of the family's 1533-position model. The record is from RNAcentral.
UACGUAGGGGGCUAGCGUUAUCCGGAUUUACUGGGCGUAAAGGGUGCGUAGGCGGUCUUUCAAGUCAGGAGUGAAAGGCUACGGCUCAACCGUAGUAAGCUCUUGAAACUGUAAGACUUGAGUGCAGGAGAGGAGAGUGGAAUUCCUAGUGUAGCGGUGAAAUGCGUAGAUAUUAGGAGGAACACCGGUGGCGAAGGCGACUUUCUGGACGAUAACUGACGCUGAGGCGCGAAAGCGUGGGUAGCAAACAGGAUUAGAUACCCCCGUAGUCCCUGAGCGGG